RNAcentral lists this small nuclear RNA (138 nucleotides) under Marmota monax (woodchuck). RNAcentral describes it as "U4 spliceosomal RNA". It matches the Rfam family "U4 spliceosomal RNA". Rfam says of the family: U4 small nuclear RNA (U4 snRNA) is a component of the major U2-dependent spliceosome. The structure of U4 snRNA from yeast and human has been reported. Lineage: Eukaryota; Metazoa; Chordata; Mammalia; Rodentia; Sciuridae. The record is from Rfam by way of RNAcentral.
AGCUUUGCGCAGUGGCAGUAUCGUAGCCAAUGAGGUUUAUCCGAGGCGCGAUUAUUGCUAAUUAAAGAACACUACAAGAUUCUGGGACAUUUUCUUUUUUUUUAAAUAAAUAAUAUACUAUUUAAUUGUGUCAAUGUA